UACGUAGGUGGCAAGCGUUGUUCGGAAUUAUUGGGCGUAAAGGGCCCGUAGGCGGCCGAUUAAGUCCGACGUGAAAUCCCCAGGCUUAACCUGGGAACUGCGUCGGAUACUGAUUGGCUUGAAUUCGGGAGAGGGAUGCAGAAUUCCAGGUGUAGCGGUGAAAUGCGUAGAUAUCUGGAGGAAUACCGGUGGCGAAGGCAGGUCUCUGGGCCACUACUGACGCUGAGAAGCGAAAGCAUGGGGAGCGAACAGG
This 253-nucleotide ribosomal RNA is filed under the name uncultured bacterium. Its description in RNAcentral is "partial 16S ribosomal RNA". It matches the Rfam family "Bacterial small subunit ribosomal RNA", at positions 524 to 776 of the family's 1533-position model. The record is from RNAcentral.